RNAcentral lists this transfer RNA (68 nucleotides) under Marmota monax (woodchuck). Its description in RNAcentral is "tRNA.Ala". The stretch from base 5 to 65 matches the Rfam family "tRNA", at positions 6 to 65 of the family's 71-position model. From Rfam's summary of the family: Transfer RNA (tRNA) molecules are approximately 80 nucleotides in length. Their secondary structure includes four short double-helical elements and three loops (D, anti-codon, and T loops). Further hydrogen bonds mediate the characteristic L-shaped molecular structure. tRNAs have two regions of fundamental functional importance: the anti-codon, which is responsible for specific mRNA codon recognition, and the 3' end, to which the tRNAs corresponding amino acid is attached (by aminoacyl-tRNA synthetases). tRNAs cope with the degeneracy of the genetic code in two manners: having more than one tRNA (with a specific anti-codon) for a particular amino acid; and 'wobble' base-pairing, i.e. permitting non-standard base-pairing at the 3rd anti-codon position. Lineage: Eukaryota; Metazoa; Chordata; Mammalia; Rodentia; Sciuridae. The record is from RNAcentral.
GGAUUGUGGCUCAGUGGUAGAGCACUUGCCUCGCAUGUGUAAGGCCCUGGGUUUGAUUCUCAGCACCA